CCUACGGGAGGCAGCAGCGGGGGAAUCUUCCGCAAUGGGGGCAACCCUGAUCCAGCAAUGCCGCGUGAGUGAUGACGGCCUUCGGGUUGUAAACCCCUUUUCCCCGGGAAGAUAGCGCUUCUACCCGGAAAAGAACCCCAGGAAAAAUCCCCGGCUAACUCCGUGCCAAUACCGACGGUGCUAGCGUUGUCCGAAAUCUGUGCGGAUUUACUGGGCGUAAAGCGCGACUCAGCUGCGAUGCUAGACCCUGGAGCUCACCCCCGGAUCUGCCUUUGAAGCUCGGCCGGUACCAUGCCGCAUAAGGGAGUGAAAUUCUGAGGGAAUGCGUGAAAUUCUGAUAUAUUCCGAAGAACUCCAGUGGAAAACGCGGCUCACUGGACGACUAUUGACCCUGACGCGCCACUGAGGGGGGAACGAACGGGAUUAGAUACCCUGUAAAUCCCCCCCGUAAACGAUGAUAACUAGAUGCCGGGGCGCUUGGCGUUUCGGCGGCGCACCUAACGCAUUAAGUUAUCCGCCUGGGGAGUACGGUCGCAAGAUUAAAACUCAAAGGAAUUGACGGGGGCCUGCACAAGCGGUGGAGCAUGUGGUUUAAUUCGAAGCAUCGCUCAAAACCUUACCAACGUUUGACAUGGUGACUAUGGUUUCCCUACAUGGAUUCCUUCCUUCGGCUGGGUCACACACAGGUGCUGCAUGGCUGUCGUCGUCUCCUGUCGUGAGAUGUUGGGUUAAGUCCCGCACCGAGCGCAACCCUCGUCCCUAUGUGCCAUCAUUUACUUGGGCACUCUAGGGAAACCGCCGGUGAUAAACCGGAGGAUGGUGGGGAGACGCAAGUCCCCACGUCCUUACGACUGGGCUCCACAGUGCUACAUGGUACUAUGUGGUCAGCAGGUCGAGAGAUCCACCUAACUCGAACUCUCUACUUCGGAUUGUUUCGCCACUCCAAACCUGAUGCUCAUCGCCCAAAUCGCGCUCUCCUGCCCCGCGCCAACGGUCCGGGAAGGCAAUACUUCACC
This 1016-nucleotide ribosomal RNA is filed under the name uncultured bacterium. RNAcentral's name for it is "bacterial SSU rRNA". It matches the Rfam family "Bacterial small subunit ribosomal RNA", at positions 338 to 1375 of the family's 1533-position model. The record is from RNAcentral.